GCCAACCAGCAGCAGACCCUCCCUCCCAGACCCUCCCACCUCCUGGACAGCAUCCAUUGUGAAGCUGCAUUCUUAGUGAGCUGUCCAGGAGGUGGGAGGGUCUAGGAGGGAGGGUCUGCUGCUGAUAUGCU
Pelobates cultripes (western spadefoot toad) is the source of this 131-nucleotide non-coding RNA. The record is from the annotation of a GenBank genome assembly. Lineage: Eukaryota; Metazoa; Chordata; Amphibia; Anura; Pelobatidae.